Molecule: long non-coding RNA, 1534 nt
Filed under: Meriones unguiculatus (Mongolian gerbil)
Lineage: Eukaryota; Metazoa; Chordata; Mammalia; Rodentia; Muridae
Description: lncRNA (ENSMUGG00000004874.1)
Source: RNAcentral
CUGUGGCUACAUUUCAAGUUUCCUCUUUGUCCGUCCAGCUUCCUCUGCCUGAGUGUGGCACUCUGUCUUGGACCGCGAAGACAAGGCCGCUCCCAGGAAGGCAGUGCAGCGCACAGAGACCCAUUUAAAGGAUGCAUCUCAGUGCCUCCCCCUCGGGACAGAGCGGACAGACCAGGGGUGAUGGUUACCUGGCUUCCCAGAGAACCAUCUGGCAGCCAUGAUGACACGGGCGUACGGCUUUGGUUUCGCUGAUGCCUGUGUAGAUGAACCUUGGUGACUCAGAGGGCCUGAAUGUCGCUGCUUUCAAGGAGAGGCCCAGGAUGGCGGCUCCCAUCGUCCAGGCAGAGGGGGAAUGUGGGGUGCCGGAGUGCCUUGAAGUAUCUCCACUGCCUAGAACCUCCUACAUGGCUGCAAAGGGGGGCGAAGGUACCUUCUUUGUUUUGCGUGGCCACGUGCCCAGAUGAACCACGGGGCAAAACAGACAGGCUGUGUCAGGCAACCCAUAGUCUUUGUCAUGGCUGUGACUUGGGGUAGCAAUGGGGGGUAGGCCGUGUGUUCUCCCCACCCCCUCUGUAUCUGUUGCUCUCCUUGUCCCUGUUAUCAAUAUCUCUGACAGGAAACCUGAAGGACGGAAAGUUUUACGUUGCUCCUGGCCUCAGAAGGCUCAGUUCCUGGUCUCUUGGUCCCAAGAUGGACUUGAACAGAGCAUCAUGGGAGCAUGUGGCUGACCAAGAAGUGGAGAGGAACAGAGGGAGAAAACAAACCUCCCGACUCCCCACAUCCAGCGACCUACUUCUCCCAGCUGAGCCCCACCCCCUAAGUUUCCAGACCCUCCCCAGGUGCGGAACAAGCUGUGGAGCAGGUGUUCAAACCCCAAACCUGGGAGGUCAUCAAAUACUCACACCAUAACACCCUUCUUCGGUGGUCUGGGAGGAUGGUCAGAACUCUGUUAUGGCACCUGAGGGGUGAGGUUGGUCCACUGCAGCAUCUGUGGAUGACGCAUGAGGCAGGAAGGCAAAGUGACUGGUCAUGGAGACUGAGUAAGGCUGUCCUCCAUGCCAACAUGAGAACAUGGGCACAGGCUGCCCCCCACAGUGGAAAAAUAGUGCAGAACUGAGCAAACAAAGAAAGCCAAGCCACCGGAAGGCCAAGGACCAUUCAUCAAGAGGCCAAGGUGCCUUUAUCCAGCUGAACUGUGGGACCAUCAUGGCUGCCCUUGGGCUGCACUGGUUAGGCUUCGAUUGAAGGUUGCAUUUACCGUAGGGUGGGCAUUUAAAGUUUCCUCUAGGCACCAUGAGUCUCACAGGGGCAUGUUGAAGGCAUGUGCUAGAGAGCUGCUUCAAACCUGCCUGAAGGGGAGUCUAGUUUGUCUCAUUCCAGAACAGCCAGCUGGGUAUUCCCUAGGGCGCUCAUUCUGGGACCUGAGAGCAUGGACAGGAGACUUGGCCUGAGCAGGGCCAGCCAGGAGGACAGAGCAGGCUCCUCCAGGCUCUUCCUUCCCCUGCUGACUCUGCUGACUCAUCCCCAGCUCCAA